Molecule: ribosomal RNA, 518 nt
Filed under: uncultured Chloroflexota bacterium
Lineage: Bacteria; Bacillati; Chloroflexota
Description: bacterial SSU rRNA
Rfam family: Bacterial small subunit ribosomal RNA
Source: RNAcentral
UGAGGGAUAUUGGUCAAUGGGCGAAAGCCUGAACCAGCGACGCCGCGUGGGUGAAGAAGGUCUUCGGAUCGUAAAGCCCUUUUCUGUGGGAAGAGUAAAAGGACGGUACCACAGGAAGAAGUCUCGGCUAACUACGUGCCAGCAGCCGCGGUAAAACGUAGGAGACAAGCGUUAUCCGGAGUUACUGGGCGUAAAGGGCGUGCAGGUGGUGGAGUAAGUCUGUUGUGAAAGCGCCUGGCUUAACCGGGCGAGGCCAAUGGAGACUGCUCGACUGGAGGGCGGUAGAGGGGUGUGGAAUUCCGGGUGUAGUGGUGAAAUGCGUAGAGAUCCGGAGGAACACCAGAGGCGAAGGCGGCACCCUAAGCCGUACCUGACACUGAGACGCGACAGCACGGGGAGCAAACGGGAUUAGAAACCCCGGUAGUCCGUGCCGUAAACGAUGCCAGCUAGACGUUCGGGUUCCGAGAGGGAUCCGGGUGUCGCAGUCAACGCGAUAAGCUGGCCGCCUGGGGGAGUAC